This 76-nucleotide transfer RNA is filed under the name Alcanivoracaceae bacterium. RNAcentral describes it as "tRNA-Thr". It matches the Rfam family "tRNA". From Rfam's summary of the family: Transfer RNA (tRNA) molecules are approximately 80 nucleotides in length. Their secondary structure includes four short double-helical elements and three loops (D, anti-codon, and T loops). The record is from RNAcentral. Lineage: Bacteria; Pseudomonadati; Pseudomonadota; Gammaproteobacteria; Oceanospirillales; Alcanivoracaceae.
GCCCACAUAGCUCAGCAGGUAGAGCACCGCCUUGGUAAGGCGGAGGUCACCAGUUCAAGUCUGGUUGUGGGCACCA